This 464-nucleotide ribosomal RNA is filed under the name Vreelandella stevensii. RNAcentral's name for it is "partial 16S ribosomal RNA". It matches the Rfam family "Bacterial small subunit ribosomal RNA", at positions 339 to 795 of the family's 1533-position model. Lineage: Bacteria; Pseudomonadati; Pseudomonadota; Gammaproteobacteria; Oceanospirillales; Halomonadaceae. The record is from RNAcentral.
UUACGGGUGGCAGCAGUGGGGAAUAUUGGACAAUGGGCGAAAGCCUGAUCCAGCCAUGCCGCGUGUGUGAAGAAGGCCUUCGGGUUGUAAAGCACUUUCAGUGGGGAAGAAAGCCUUGGGGCUAAUACCCUCGAGGAAGGACAUCACCCACAGAAGAAGCACCGGCUAACUCCGUGCCAGCAGCCGCGGUAAUACGGAGGGUGCGAGCGUUAAUCGGAAUUACUGGGCGUAAAGCGCGCGUAGGCGGUCUGAUAAGCCGGUUGUGAAAGCCCCGGGCUCAACCUGGGAACGGCAUCCGGAACUGUCAGGCUAGAGUGCAGGAGAGGAAGGUAGAAUUCCCGGUGUAGCGGUGAAAUGCGUAGAGAUCGGGAGGAAUACCAGUGGCGAAGGCGGCCUUCUGGACUGACACUGACGCUGAGGUGCGAAAGCGUGGGUAGCAAACAGGAUUAGAUACCCCUGUAGUC